UACACCUGCGGGAGGCAGCAGUGGGGAAUUUUGGACAAUGGGCGAAAGCCUGAUCCAGCAAUGCCGCGUGCAGGAUGAAGGCCUUCGGGUUGUAAACUGCUUUUGUACGGAACGAAAAAGCUCCUUCUAAUACAGGGGGCCCAUGACGGUACCGUAAGAAUAAGCACCGGCUAACUACGUGCCAGCAGCCGCGGUAAUACGUAGGGUGCGAGCGUUAAUCGGAAUUACUGGGCGUAAAGCGUGCGCAGGCGGUUAUGUAAGACAGAUGUGAAAUCCCCGGGCUCAACCUGGGAACUGCAUUUGUGACUGCAUGGCUAGAGUACGGUAGAGGGGGAUGGAAUUCCGCGUGUAGCAGUGAAAUGCGUAGAUAUGCGGAGGAACACCGAUGGCGAAGGCAAUCCCCUGGACCUGUACUGACGCUCAUGCACGAAAGCGUGGGGAGCAAACAGGAUUAGAUACCCCUGUAGUCCC
Molecule: ribosomal RNA, 471 nt
Filed under: uncultured organism
Description: partial 16S ribosomal RNA
Rfam family: Bacterial small subunit ribosomal RNA
Source: RNAcentral